AUUGAACGCUGGCGGCAGGCCUAACACAUGCAAGUCGAACGAGUGGCGGACGGGUGAGUAAUGUCUGGGAAACUGCCCGAUGGAGGGGGAUAACUACUGGAAACGGUAGCUAAUACCGCAUACUAUCGGAUGUGCCCAUAUGGGAUUAGCUAGUAGGUGGGGUAAAGGCUCACCUAGGCGACGAUCCCUAGCUGGUCUGAGAGGAUGACCAGCCACACUUGAACUGUGACACGGGCCAUACUCCUACGGGAGGCAGCAGUGGGGAAUAUUGCACAAGGGGCGCAAGCCUGAUGAAGCCAUGCCGCGUGUAUGAAGAAGGCCGUCGGGUUGUAAAGUACUUUCAGCGGGGAGGCGUUACCCGCAGAAGAAGCACCGGCUAACUCCGUGCCAGCAGCCGCGGUAAUUC
This 406-nucleotide ribosomal RNA is filed under the name uncultured bacterium. RNAcentral's name for it is "partial 16S ribosomal RNA". It matches the Rfam family "Bacterial small subunit ribosomal RNA", at positions 30 to 526 of the family's 1533-position model. The record is from RNAcentral.